This 1445-nucleotide ribosomal RNA is filed under the name Limosilactobacillus fermentum. RNAcentral describes it as "bacterial SSU rRNA". It matches the Rfam family "Bacterial small subunit ribosomal RNA". The record is from RNAcentral. Lineage: Bacteria; Bacillati; Bacillota; Bacilli; Lactobacillales; Lactobacillaceae.
AAGUCGAACGCGUUGGCCCAAUUGAUUGAUGGUGCUUGCACCUGAUUGAUUUUGGUCGCCAACGAGUGGCGGACGGGUGAGUAACACGUAGGUAACCUGCCCAGAAGCGGGGGACAACAUUUGGAAACAGAUGCUAAUACCGCAUAACAGCGUUGUUCGCAUGAACAACGCUUAAAAGAUGGCUUCUCGCUAUCACUUCUGGAUGGACCUGCGGUGCAUUAGCUUGUUGGUGGGGUAACGGCCUACCAAGGCGAUGAUGCAUAGCCGAGUUGAGAGACUGAUCGGCCACAAUGGGACUGAGACACGGCCCAUACUCCUACGGGAGGCAGCAGUAGGGAAUCUUCCACAAUGGGCGCAAGCCUGAUGGAGCAACACCGCGUGAGUGAAGAAGGGUUUCGGCUCGUAAAGCUCUGUUGUUAAAGAAGAACACGUAUGAGAGUAACUGUUCAUACGUUGACGGUAUUUAACCAGAAAGUCACGGCUAACUACGUGCCAGCAGCCGCGGUAAUACGUAGGUGGCAAGCGUUAUCCGGAUUUAUUGGGCGUAAAGAGAGUGCAGGCGGUUUUCUAAGUCUGAUGUGAAAGCCUUCGGCUUAACCGGAGAAGUGCAUCGGAAACUGGAUAACUUGAGUGCAGAAGAGGGUAGUGGAACUCCAUGUGUAGCGGUGGAAUGCGUAGAUAUAUGGAAGAACACCAGUGGCGAAGGCGGCUACCUGGUCUGCAACUGACGCUGAGACUCGAAAGCAUGGGUAGCGAACAGGAUUAGAUACCCUGGUAGUCCAUGCCGUAAACGAUGAGUGCUAGGUGUUGGAGGGUUUCCGCCCUUCAGUGCCGGAGCUAACGCAUUAAGCACUCCGCCUGGGGAGUACGACCGCAAGGUUGAAACUCAAAGGAAUUGACGGGGGCCCGCACAAGCGGUGGAGCAUGUGGUUUAAUUCGAAGCUACGCGAAGAACCUUACCAGGUCUUGACAUCUUGCGCCAACCCUAGAGAUAGGGCGUUUCCUUCGGGAACGCAAUGACAGGUGGUGCAUGGUCGUCGUCAGCUCGUGUCGUGAGAUGUUGGGUUAAGUCCCGCAACGAGCGCAACCCUUGUUACUAGUUGCCAGCAUUAAGUUGGGCACUCUAGUGAGACUGCCGGUGACAAACCGGAGGAAGGUGGGGACGACGUCAGAUCAUCAUGCCCCUUAUGACCUGGGCUACACACGUGCUACAAUGGACGGUACAACGAGUCGCGAACUCGCGAGGGCAAGCAAAUCUCUUAAAACCGUUCUCAGUUCGGACUGCAGGCUGCAACUCGCCUGCACGAAGUCGGAAUCGCUAGUAAUCGCGGAUCAGCAUGCCGCGGUGAAUACGUUCCCGGGCCUUGUACACACCGCCCGUCACACCAUGAGAGUUUGUAACACCCAAAGUCGGUGGGGUAACCUUUUAGGAGCCAGCCGCCUAA